GACGAACGCUGGCGGCGUGCUUAACACAUGCAAGUCGAACGGAAAGGCCCUGCUUGCAGGGUACUCGAGUGGCGAACGGGUGAGUAACACGUGGGUGAUCUGCCCUGCACUUCGGGAUAAGUCUGGGAAACUGGGUCUAAUACCGGAUAGGAGCCAUUUUUAGUGUGAUGGUUGGAAAGUUUUUUCGGUGUAGGAUGAGCUCGCGGCCUAUCAGCUUGUUGGUGGGGUAAUGGCCUACCAAGGCGGCGAAGGGUAGCCGGCCUGGGAGGGUGGACGGCCAAAUUGGGGACGAGGAACGGCCCAGACUCCUACGGGAGGGAGGAGGGGGGAAUAUUGCAAAAUGGGGGCAAGCCUGAUGCAGCGAAGCCGCGUGGGGGAUGACGGGCUUCGGGUUGUAAACUCCUUUCGCUAGGGACGAAGCUUUUUGUGACGGUACCUAGAUAAGAAGCACCGGCUAACUACGUG
This 465-nucleotide ribosomal RNA is filed under the name uncultured bacterium. RNAcentral's name for it is "partial 16S ribosomal RNA". It matches the Rfam family "Bacterial small subunit ribosomal RNA", at positions 28 to 507 of the family's 1533-position model. The record is from RNAcentral.